Molecule: long non-coding RNA, 1891 nt
Filed under: Fukomys damarensis (Damara mole-rat)
Lineage: Eukaryota; Metazoa; Chordata; Mammalia; Rodentia; Bathyergidae
Description: lncRNA (ENSFDAG00000024459.1)
Source: RNAcentral
CUCUUUGGGGAGACAAACUGCAUCCCAAUCAUGACAGCCAUGUUGUUUAGAUAUUUUCAAUACUGUAAAUUUUGUUUAGCACUGUUAUGGGCUGAAUCCUCUCUCUCUGUUGAAGUUCUAGCCUGCAGCACUUCAGAAUGUGGCUGCAUCUAGAGGUAGGGUCUUUAGGGAGGCCGCUAGCCAUAAUGCUAAGUAAAAUAAAUCAGACACGGGAUGUUAAAUAUCACACAGUUUCUCUUAUAUGGGAAACCCAAUGUAUAAAUCAUCUAUAAAGCCAAAGGAAUGAGAAGUGGCAGGAAACAGGUAGGCAGACUUUGUGGAAAUGGGAAGAGGCUCUGAGAGUGGGGAAGACAAGAAGGAGGAGCGGGGAGGGAGAAAUAAAGAUAAGUAAGAUGUGUUAUGCAUACAUACCUAUCCCCCAUGAUGAAUGCAUUUAUAUUUAAUUAAUUAAUUUUUUUAUUUAUUGGUUCUGGGGAUCGAACUUGGGACGUUGCACUUGCAAGGCAGGCAGCAGCACCACUGAGCUAAAUCCCUGGCCCUGCAUUUAUUAUGUAUUACAAAGGUAUACCGAUGAAAAAUUUUAAGAAGAGAGAAGCAAAGUAGGUAAAAUCUAUUUUCUCCCUUCUCAAGCACUCUUAGUCAUUAGAAGAAGUAAAAUGUUGGAUAUUACCAUUCCUGGAACUACAAAGAUGUGCAAAAAUGUAAAAGUAAAUAUAAAAUAAAGUAAGGUGAUUUAGGUGUACCCUGAUCCUCCCUGCAUGGAGAGAGGAUCAGCAUACCUGCACACAGAGCAGAGACCAUGUGAAGACACACAGAGGACAUGGGCUCUACAAGUCACAGAGGUAGGCCUCAGAGAAACCCCUUCUGUUGUCCAUCCUGUUGAUCGGCCCCUGUUCCAGAUCAGAUUGGGGUUAGGGGUGGGGUUAAGCCUAACAUCCUGGCCAUGACUGACAGGUCACGUCCUGUCGACCAGUCUCCAUUCGGAUCAGGUUACAUCCUGUUUCCCGUCUUCAUUCCAGCUCUUUGUAAUUUGACAGGUCACAUCCUAUUUACCAGCCGGUCUGCCCAUGCCCUGAUCGCCUGCCUUGUGGAGGAUGUGAACUGCAGAAGGAAGAUGUGGGAUGAGGAACCAGAUUUGCCACACAGGUCUUUGGAGCCAGGGCCAUAUCCUCUUGAAGUUCUCUCCUCUAGAAAAUUCUGAGCAUUAAUAAAAAUGUCCUACAAUGGAGGAAUGUUGCACAUUCGUCCUUGCCCCUCGAUUUCCACUGGUUGGAUUUAGAGCAGCCUGCAGUCUCUCUCCUCACCUCCUCUCAGAGGCCCUCGAGAUGCAAUGCUUACCUUGUAAGGUGGUGUACAUUUAUAAUCCCAGCACCCAGGAGGCUGAGGCAGGAAAAUUGCCUCAAGUUUGAGACCAGCUAGUUCUACACAGUGAGCUCAAAUCCAGCCUGGACUACAUAAGGAGACCCUGUCUCAAAACAACAACAACAACAACAACAACAACAAAACACCUGAGUUUAUUCCUGGUACCAAAAAAAGAGAGAAAGAAAGAAAGAAAGAAAGAAAGAAAGAAAGAAAGAAAGAAAGAAAGAAAAAGAAAGAAAGAAAGAAAGAAAGAAAGAAAGAAAGAAAGAAAGAAAGAAAGAAAAGAAGAAAGGAAAGAGAAGACAUAAUGUUUCCAUUGCCCCAGAACAGGCUCUAAGUAUAGGGCCUCAAAUAAACCACCUACAGUCAUUCAGAUUUCAGGAGGAAUUUUUUUUUUUAAAUAGGCCAAUGAUUCUUGCUUUUGGACCACCAGGGGCAGAUGCUCUGGCUCUGUUCCGGCCGACCCUAGCAGCUGACCACAUCCAAAGUGACUUGCUCCACCUCCAAUGAGGAGCACAGCCUGCACCGC